AACGCACAUUGCGCCCCUUGGUAUUCCGAGGGGCAUGCCUGUUCGAGCGUCAUUAUAACCACUCAAGCCUGGCUUGGUAUUGGGGUCCGCGGUCUCGCGGCCCUUAAAAUCAGUGGCGGUGCCGUCUGGCUCUAAGCGUAGUAAUUUUUCUCGCUAUAGGGUCUGGUGGUUACUUGCCAUUAACCCCCCAUUUUCUAAGGUUGACCUCGGAUCAGGUAGGGAUACCCGCUGAACUUAA
RNAcentral lists this unclassified non-coding RNA (238 nucleotides) under uncultured fungus. Its description in RNAcentral is "sequence contains ITS2". The stretch from base 1 to 52 matches the Rfam family "5.8S ribosomal RNA", at positions 103 to 154 of the family's 154-position model. Lineage: Eukaryota; Fungi. The record is from RNAcentral.